UCCCUGAUGGUCUAGUGGUUAGGAUUCAGCACUUUCACUGCUGUGGCCCAGGUUCAAUCCCUGGUCUGGGAA
RNAcentral lists this transfer RNA (72 nucleotides) under Sus scrofa (pig). RNAcentral describes it as "tRNA-Glu (TTC) (tRNA-Glu-TTC-5-1)". It matches the Rfam family "tRNA". Rfam says of the family: Transfer RNA (tRNA) molecules are approximately 80 nucleotides in length. Lineage: Eukaryota; Metazoa; Chordata; Mammalia; Artiodactyla; Suidae. The record is from Rfam by way of RNAcentral.